UACAGAGGGGGCGAGCGUUGUUCGGAAUUACUGGGCGUAAAGGGCGCGUAGGCGGCCUUCUAAGUCGAACGUGAAAUCCCCGGGCUCAACCCGGGAACUGCGUCCGAUACUGGAAGGCUUGAAUCCGGGAGAGGGAUGCGGAAUUCCAGGUGUAGCGGUGAAAUGCGUAGAUAUCUGGAGGAACACCGGUGGCGAAGGCGGCAUCCUGGACCGGUAUUGACGCUGAGGCGCGAAAGCUAGGGGAGCAAACGGG
Molecule: ribosomal RNA, 253 nt
Filed under: uncultured bacterium
Lineage: Bacteria
Description: partial 16S ribosomal RNA
Rfam family: Bacterial small subunit ribosomal RNA
Source: RNAcentral